This 263-nucleotide long non-coding RNA is filed under the name Monodelphis domestica (gray short-tailed opossum). RNAcentral's name for it is "lncRNA (ENSMODG00000033120.2)". The record is from RNAcentral. Lineage: Eukaryota; Metazoa; Chordata; Mammalia; Didelphimorphia; Didelphidae.
UGUAGCUCUACUGUGAAGGCCACUGGAAGUGAUGCAUGGAUAUGGAAAUGAUGCACAGUCGCCAAGGGCUAAGUAAGGCAUUGAGAAAUACUAUCAAGUUUGGAUGACAUCCCUGUUCUCAUGAAGAUCACAAUCUAACAGGGGCUAAGAAUGUAACCCAAGUUUCAAGCCUGGAGCAUUUUGCAUAAAAGAUUCUAACCAGUGGAGAGAAUGAUGACUCAAAGCUACAUGCCAUGUGAGGAAAGGAGUUGACAUGAGAGAAG